This 251-nucleotide ribosomal RNA is filed under the name uncultured prokaryote. RNAcentral's name for it is "partial 16S rRNA". It matches the Rfam family "Bacterial small subunit ribosomal RNA", at positions 525 to 775 of the family's 1533-position model. The record is from RNAcentral.
ACGUAGGGGGCAAGCGUUAUCCGGAAUUACUGGGCGUAAAGAGCGCGUAGGCGGUUUAUUAAGCGUGAUGUGAAAGUUAACAGCUUAACUAUUAUAGGCCAUUUGAAACUGGAAGACUUGAGUCUAGGAGAGGUAAGCGGAAUUCCUAGUGUAGCGGUGAAAUGCGUAGAUAUUAGGAGGAACACCGGUGGCGAAGGCGGCUUACUGGACUAGUACUGACGCUCAGGUGCGAAAGCGUGGGGAGCAAACAG